This 5754-nucleotide long non-coding RNA is filed under the name Homo sapiens (human). RNAcentral's name for it is "HSALNT0004880". Lineage: Eukaryota; Metazoa; Chordata; Mammalia; Primates; Hominidae. The record is from RNAcentral.
UUAUGGAAUUCGUAGUUUGGUUGGUAUAUUAACACUCCAUCUUAAUCUUUGCUGCUAUUACAAAGAAUGAGGAAAGCUAGAAAUAUCUAUAAAAAUAAAAUACCUUAAAACCGACAAGCAAAAUAUAAAAGUUGCAUACAAAUUGCCAAUAAAUAUAAACAUCACAAUAGAAAAAUUAAUCUUAACAAAAAUAAACUCAUAAUUGCUAUUAAGACAUUAUAAAAACAAAAAAGUUUAAUGUGCAUGUAUAUUUGCAAACAGACACAGUACACUCCAAACAAUAUAAUUUUACUAUCAUUAUUAUAUAAUGCAGCAUACAAGGUUACUGAGGUGUGGUAUUUUUUGUUGUUGUUGUUGUUUGCUUUUAGUCUUCUUUUCUGGAAGAAUGCUCACCAAAUUCACAGGAAAGAAGUGCCUAGGUGAUCAUUUACUGCUAUUUACUGCUUCCUGGUAUGGAGCAAAAUUGCCCUCUGGUAGGUAACUACAUUUCUAAUUAGUAUGAAAGGUUCUACUAUUUUCCUUUCUUUUGCUUAUUUCCCCUUAAGCACAAUUUGCAGACCCUACUUCUAUUUAACUGAUCAUACCCUUUUAAAUUUCCCUUUGGACAUUGGUACUAUACCCAUAAUCUUGUUAAAAAGUUAAGUAGGUUUGCUGUUUUAUGUGCAUUAUGGAUUUCCUCCAACACAGUUGGGAAUUAAAAGAGGUAAUUCUACUAAAUAUUUUGUUUUCAAAUUUACAAAAUAAAUUUGGUGAGCAUUUACCUAGAUACUUUACUGCAUAAAAGCUUUCCUUGGUUCCCUUGGACGAGAUUCAAGACAACAACUAACAUUAUUUUUAUGAAACUGUCACACUCUUGGAGUUCUAAAAUAAUUUAUCUUUAAAAUUCUUAGCUUCGUGCUACUUGAAAAAUAAAAAUCUACAGCACCAUCUUCUGAAAAGGCACUUUCUAAGAACCGCCUUGCUUUAAAAAAUGAUUAAAAAAUUUAACUCAAGAGUCUACGCCCUGACAAACGUCUUUGCUUUACUGAGACCCUAACAUAGAUACAUUAGAUUCUGGUUACCUUAGAAAUUAGUCUAAAAAAGGAAGGGACCCCGAUGGCUGGAUAGGUGAUUUGACAGGAUUCUAAUUUUGUCACACCAUUUACCUGAUACUUCAACAGGGUUUCUCACUGGUAAAUCUCAACCCUCUAUAUUGAAUUUACCAUCCUUCUAUCUUUAAUUCAAAUUAAAAUCUUUAACUUCCAUAUUUUAAGAACAAAAGAUUCUUGAGAUUUAAUCAAUGAUGUAAACAUCUGGAGUACUAGUUUUGAUGGGUAAAGUAAUAUAAAUUUCAAUGAGUAGUAGGUAAUAUUAGCACAAGCCUUGACCAUUAUACCUUAGUUUAAAAAAUUAUGUUGACUGACAUGGAAAAUUAUAAACUUAAAUGUACCAUUUUAAAAGUAGGAAAAAAGUCAAAAUAAUUUUUCCCUUUGUGUGUGUGUGUGAGAUUAUAUAUAUACACACUCAUACAUAUACACACACACACACUCCCCCUCCCUGCUUCCUGGGACUCAGCUUGGCUUUCACUAAUCACAGUGUCAUUUCUAACACUGCAACGGAUCAAGAAUGUUCUUAGUAUAAGCAGGACUUUUUUAAAAAGAUUUUUUGGAGAAAAUUCUCACUUUCUGAUUUCUGUGCUGACUGACUUACCUACUCUUGGCUGAUUUUUUGACUCCUAUAGAAUCACAAAAGUGCUUUUCUAUGAUCAAAUAUGAGGACUGAAAUAGGAAAACAAGAGUUCUAAAUUAGGGUUAUACUGCUACACAGGAAGGCGUUACUUGAUGUCAAACCUCCCAACAAUUCUUACUGAAGCUUUAAGACAUUUAUGAAUUCUCAAAAAGAAUGAAAAUAAUGAAUACUUCAUAUGGAUAAAGCCAAAAUAAAGACGCCACACUAAUGAUAUUUUUGCAGCUUGACUAACUAAUAAAAGGUAAUUUAAGUAGCAAGUUACUGUUAAGGGCAACCUGCCUGUUCAACAGAAGAACAUCUAAGAGGAUAAGCUAAGCAAACAUUUAACUCAGGUUUAAUGAUACUGAAUGAAAAUUUUGCAGAGUUGUCAGUUAAACUUCUUGGUAAAAAUAUUAAAAUCAAGUUUGAAAUAGGAAGACUGCAACAUAUUCUAGCUGUAUCGAAGUCGUUUGCUUCUUGAAUUUCAUAAAAAUCACUGCCCUUGGCAAAUUCAUGUAGGGCUCUAAACAGAUCCAUCAAGUUCCUUGAGUCACAAACGGUCUCUAAUUCCUGGUCUGCAAUCCAUCUAAAUACUUCGGAUCCAUCACUGGCAUGCUUAGCGCUCACCCUUUCCUUGAACACAGAGAUCCGCUGCCAGUCAUUCCUGCUGAAGGGCAAGUCAGGUUUUAUUUCCCUAGACAUGCCUUCAGUCUUUCAUGACUCUGUCAGAAGGCCUAUCCUCCUAAAAUCCAUUAGAGAAUACACAAGCAAACACUAGGCAGUGGUGGGCUGUGGAGAAGCUAGCUUGGAAACUGGUCUAGAUCUUUAGAAGGCUGAGAAUCCCUGUGCUGGAAAGCAGAGAUGCCUCUAUCAAGUGCCUUCCAAAACACUCAGUAAUUCCUACUAGAAUCCCUGCUAGACUCUCUUCUAGGAAUAGAAAUAUAUUAAUAGGUUAUAAACAGGGAUUUCCCUUAGAAUGAUAGUUUUUCCAAGAAACUUGUUAGAAGAUCACUAUUAAGAAAAAGAAAGGGAAUCUAAUAUUUCUGUUGAAAUGUGCCAAAAAACCAGUACUGAAGAGGCUGAGGUACCCUUUUUCAAACUGUAAAAGUCAAAAUCUACAUUUCUAAAACAAAGAAUAUCCUGAUAUUAAAUUGAAACUAAAAUGGCAGCACCCUUUGUUACUUUGAUAUUCCGUGUCCUUACUCUUAGGAAAAAAAAGGGUCUAACACUAGCCUUGAAUCCUGCUUAUCUCCUUACUGUUUAGUGCAGUAACUGUCAGAAUCUACUUAAAUAAAUAUAGCAGCUACAAUAUUGUAAGUGUAUGGUCCUCCAUGCCAGUAACCUGAUACUGUGAUAUAAUACAUGUAUCAGCACUUUAUGUAGACACAUUAACCAUCAAGAAUAUACAUUAAACUCCCAACUCUUCUUCAUAUGAAAAUCAAUUAUCUAGUUGCCAGACUGAUAUUUUACAGUCAGUCUCGUAAGAUACAUCACAGAAAAAAGAAGACCAAAAUCUAGCAUUCAUGAUAUAGUUAGUGAGCAAGGGCAGGAGCAGAAGGGUCACUGUGAAUUUCAUGUUUAACUUAAAAAAAAAAACUUUUUUAAAAUAAAAAAGAUUAGAAAUUCUACACCAGAAAUGCAACAAUAAAUAGGACAAAUUUCAAGAAGCAUUUGUCACUUAGCCUUUUAUCUUAAAAUUCUAAGCACAAGUUUUCUUGUAAUUAAGAACCAAUGGUAAUUAAUAUACCAAUUUGUUAGCAAAAUAGAAAUAUAGUAUACAUACUCUUUCAAGUUAAUCAACUUUAAACUAGCAAUGCUGACUAGUGUAAGAGCACUCUAAAAAAGAAAUCACUCAAAAGGUAAAGCUUUAUAAUUUAGAAAAAAUAUUUUUCCUCUUAAAAAAGUCCUUCCAAAUAGAUUUAAAUUAAGGGCUCCACUCUAGCAUAUAUGAGUGACUGAAAAUUAGGUGAGAGAGUACAUAGAGAAAGGGUAUCUACAGUCAUUCCCUAAAGUUUCCCACAUGAAUCUGUGCAGCUCCCAUGAUAAAGGAAGAUGUUUUACUCACACUGAUCAAGCAUAGACGAAUUAAAUUUUUAUCAUCUUGGGUAUACUAUUUUCUUCUCUUGCCCAUGAUCCUGACUAUAUUCAGUAAAAUUUCAGUGUAAAAAAAUCCAUCUUUAUAGGAAAUUUUUCUGGAGGAGAUGGGAGAAGGCUGGGAGAAAAAAUGUAUAUACGAUACAAAUAUUACCUUUUGUAAAGUUCUUUGCAACAGUGUUGUAAAUUGCAUUUCAGACACUUCAAAAUAAUAAACAUACAAAAUACAGUACUUUCUUAGUUUUCUGGCAGAGGGACAAAAGAUUUCAUGCCUGUCAGAGGACAUGGGCUCAGAUUUUAGGCUCAAAAUACAGUGAAUUGGCAAUAAUAGUGGAUUACAGGUAAGAGAGAAACUAAAGAUCUAAAUCCAUUAGGUUUCACGUGCAGAUGGAAUUCUGAAAGGCUAACAACAAUGCCCACUGGAAACAAUCUGUAGUAUCUAUACUCUGAACCAGUGCAAAAAAAAAAAAAAUCAAAAUGCAAUUUUCAUGAGUUACAAAGUGCAAAGCUCCCCUGAAUCCAAUGUUACUGAUAAACUCAGUUUUGAUAGCUUUAUAGUACUUUUUAAUACCUUAAAGUGUAAUCAAUAAAAGUUUUGUAAAACAAUUUCCCACGUUUCAGUGAUUUAACUGAUUUAAAAUGAUCAAAGUCCUAACUUCCUUUGUUACUAUCACCUUAAUUUUAAAAGGAAAGUUAUACUGGUGAUACAUUAGCAAAAGUUUUAAAAUAUCAUCUUGCAUUUUCCUGAUUCAUUUUAGUAAAUGAAAAUGGGCAUCUAGCCAAUAUGAUUCUUCAAUAAACACAAUCUAUUUGCAAAUAAUUUAAAUAUGUUAAGCUAUUCACAAUUAUAUAAAAGUUCAACUUUAUUUCUAAUAUUCAAGUUGGACUCAUUUAGGCAAUUUCACUUCAUUUUCAUUAUGAUUUUUUUUUCUUUUGAGACGGAGUUUUGGUUUUGUUGCCCAGGCUGGAGUGCAAUGGUGCAGUCUUGGCUCACUGUAACUUCCGCCUCCUAGGUUCAAGCAAUCCUGCCUCAGCCUCCCGAGUAGCUGGGAUUAGAGGUGCCCACUACCACGCCCAGCUAAUUUUUGUAUUUUUAGUAGAGACGGGGUUUCACCACGUUGGCCAGGCUGGUCUCAAACUCCUGAGCUCCGGUGAUAUACCUGUCUCAGCCUCCCAAAGUGCUAGGAUUACAGGCAUGAGCCACCGCGUCCAGCCUUUUAUCAUGAUGAAUUUUAAAAGAUAUGCUUUAAAACUGAAAAUUACAAAACUUUCCUUCUGAAAUUAAGGCUGUAUUCUUUGCCCUUUUAAACUAUGGAGGUGCCUGUUCCUCCUACUAUCCAUGGUAAAGAUGCAGACACAACUUUCCUUUAAAACUGCUUAUUGCACUAAAAGAUAGCAAAAACAAGUUGUCAGUUCUUAAAAUAAACAUGAUUAUAUUUCUAUAAAAGAUGCUGCCAAUACAAUUCUAUAAUUAUUAAAGCACUAUUCUAAUAAAUAUAAAAGAAAAGGAAGCUAUACUUCCAAACACAUACAUAUGUGUUUAUAUACACACACAUACAUAUAUAUAUAUAAAAAAUAUAUGAAAAUCACAUUAAGGUAUGAGAGGCAGCAAGUAAACUAUCAAAAAACAAAACAAAAAAAUCCCUCAACAAACUCUUCUCUCUACUCAAUUUCAGAGGUCUCAACCCUACAGAGCUCUAAUCUUUUAAAAUAUUUACCCUUUAUAAAACCUUUAAAGAAUUUCCAUGUAUAACCCAUAGAAACAGAAGGCUUCAGAAUACACAUCACUUACCAGAGAGAAAGUUACAACUUCUGACAGGUUUUAUAUUUAUAGCAGCUUUAACAAACUCACUAAAGAAAAAGAAUAGUAGGCCGGGUGCGGUGGCUCAUGCCUGUAAUCCCAGCACUUUGGGAGGUCGAGGCGGGUGGAUCACAAGGUCAAGAGAUCGAGAC